This 310-nucleotide long non-coding RNA is filed under the name Salmo salar (Atlantic salmon). Its description in RNAcentral is "lncRNA (ENSSSAG00000093087.1, ENSSSAG00020047876.1)". The record is from RNAcentral. Lineage: Eukaryota; Metazoa; Chordata; Actinopteri; Salmoniformes; Salmonidae.
CCAUGGAAUAUUAUUGAAGUCCUACUCAGCACAGUACGUUUUCAGUAGCCUUCGGAGCAAGGCUAACAAUAGGGACAUAAAUUAUUCACUUUUUCGAACAAAACUACAUUUGUUAUGGACCUGGGAAACCUGGAAGUGCUUUCUGAUAAAGAUAAUCAAAGAAAACGAGAUGGUGCAUCUUAAGAGAUUUCAUCCUGCAAAAUGAAAAAAAAAUCUUAUAACAAUCCCAUUAGCAGUGAUUACAGCUGUGAGUCUUUCUGGUCAACAAGGGAGAACGCGGGACAUAGAUCAACUGGUGACAGAAUCAGUG